RNAcentral lists this transfer-messenger RNA (347 nucleotides) under Gammaproteobacteria bacterium RIFCSPLOWO2_02_FULL_56_15. Its description in RNAcentral is "partial transfer-messenger RNA". It matches the Rfam family "transfer-messenger RNA". From Rfam's summary of the family: Bacterial tmRNA, also known as 10Sa RNA or SsrA, is named for its dual tRNA and mRNA-like properties. Its role is to liberate the mRNA from a stalled ribosome. To accomplish this part of the tmRNA is used as a reading frame that ends in a translation stop signal. The record is from RNAcentral. Lineage: Bacteria; Pseudomonadati; Pseudomonadota; Gammaproteobacteria.
UUCGACGUGGGUCAUGAAACCUGAAGGGCAUGCCGAGGGGCAGAGCACCUCGUAAAUCCAGCUGCAAAAAUAUAGUUGCCAACGACGACAACUACGCACUCGCUGCCUAAAAACCAGUAGAGUGCCGUCUGCCUGAUGCGUGCUUGUACGCUCAGUCCCAGGCGUCGACCCAUACAAGAUCGCGAUGAAGCAUGUCCGUGGCGGAUUCGUUAAAACCUUUACGGAAUCGUCCGUUGUCUUUCCUGCCGCUCGGAUAGCAACGGGUUAAACUCAAAGAGCCGGCUACGCAUGUAGAACUGAGGGCGGAAGGCUUGCGGACACGGGUUCGACUCCCGUCGCCUCCACCA